Rhododendron vialii is the source of this 92-nucleotide small nucleolar RNA. RefSeq annotates it as small nucleolar RNA snR60/Z15/Z230/Z193/J17. The record is from RefSeq and is a predicted model, not a curated record. The transcript has a single exon. NCBI's taxonomy places the organism in Eukaryota, Viridiplantae, Streptophyta, Magnoliopsida, Ericales, Ericaceae.
UAGGGUUGCUUGAUGAUUUUACGCAUAGUUCAAAUGAUCAUGUAUAUAUGAUUAAACAUUCGAAGGUCUUUUGCUCCUAUCCGGCGACCUCG